UACGGAGGGUGCAAGCGUUGUCCGGAUUUAUUGGGUUUAAAGGGUGCGUAGGCGGCCCUAUAAGUCAGUGGUGAAAGCCCAUCGCUCAACGAUGGAACUGCCAUUGAUACUGUAGGGCUUGAGUACAGACGAGGUAGGCGGAAUUGAUGGUGUAGCGGUGAAAUGCAUAGAUACCAUCAAGAACACCGAUUGCGUAGGCAGCUUACUAGGCUGUAACUGACGCUGAGGCACGAAAGCGUGGGGAGCGAACAGG
Molecule: ribosomal RNA, 253 nt
Filed under: uncultured bacterium
Lineage: Bacteria
Description: partial 16S ribosomal RNA
Rfam family: Bacterial small subunit ribosomal RNA
Source: RNAcentral